AUGGCUCGUGGCGAUCGUCAAAACGACGAUGAUGAUUUCAUGGAUCCACCACAGCGUAAUCGUGCAACUAGAUGGAGAAAAGAGGGUGAUGAGAAGAAGAAACGUAUUCGCAACAGAGCCUCCCAAGAACGACUGACUGCGUUGACUGACAAAUUCAGCGACGAUCAGAAGGGGGCUGCUGCUGAGAUGGGUAUGCAGUCUAUGAUGGCUGUCCGGUGCACGAACCUUGUCAACCCUGUAUGCGAUUGGCUUGGUGAGAUCUACGACCCCGCCUCCAGGGAAUUCAUGAUUCCGAGACGUGGAAGACUACCGCUGAACGAGGAAUCUGUGUUCUGUACUUUGGGUGUGCCUCGUGGACAUAUCAAAGUCCCGUACGAGGCCAUGACGACGCAUGGAGAUGUUUUCAAGAUGAAGCUACUCAUGUACCUCAUCUCAGCCGUUUUCGCGCCGACCACUUCUCUUCGCCCAAGCAACAAAUGCUUCCCCAUCCUGGCGAAACUGAAAGAUGUGAAGAACAUGAAUUGGUGUAAGUUCAUUGCCGACUUCCUGCAUGAUGCAUUCGCAAGCAAGGUGUACCAGAAGGGUUGUCGACUGCAUUUAAUGCUCAUGUACGCCGACUGUCUUGAUCUACCCACCGUGGAUUUCACUGGGACAGGAGGCCCGCCGCCUACACACAAGUUUGCUAUUUCUGCGUGGACUAUUGAUGCUGUCAAGGCUGUGCUUGCUGCAGACAUGGUAACUGAUACCAAAUAUGGAAAACUGCAGCUGAUGGCCAAGCAUGCUAUAGACUACAGCGUGUUUGGGGGGCCUCAAAACUUUGGAAAGUGGAUGGACGUGCACUCAGCUCCGUCUUGCCCUGCCGAGGCGAGGGAACCUGUUGAGCAGCUAAUAGGGCAGUUUGCAUCUGGAAUGACCGGCUUGCUCGGGAAGUUGGUUGAGGGGUGGACGUCCCUCAGCGGCUCUGACAGCGACGCGGUUGCGAGUUCCCAGGAGCCUGCUAACACACAAGAUGAACUAGGUGGAGACGCUGGUCUCAGCAAGGAUGACGACGACGUCAUGGAUAAUGUGCAAGAGGACACCGAUGAUGAUGAACAUGCUGAAGUUCGCGCAGGUGGUAACAAGGGCAAGGAUGCAACAGAUGUCCCCCAACCGGAUAAAGUCAAACAACACACGGCUGGGAGAGGCGAGGGGGUUUUGCCAUCAAAGAGGGGGAUGGCUCCAGAGGGUGUUGGGAAGGGUUCUGCUGGCAAGAGGUCUAGGACCGACCCUGUA
Molecule: ribosomal RNA, 1272 nt
Filed under: Triticum aestivum (bread wheat)
Lineage: Eukaryota; Viridiplantae; Streptophyta; Magnoliopsida; Poales; Poaceae
Description: partial small subunit ribosomal RNA
Source: RNAcentral